CCUACGGGUGGCAGCAGUGAGGAAUAUUGGUCAAUGGACGAGAGUCUGAACCAGCCAAGUAGCGUGAAGGAUGACUGCCCUAUGGGUUGUAAACUUCUUUUAUAAAGGAAUAAAACGUGGCACGUGUGCCUUUUUGCAUGUACUUUAUGAAUAAGGAUCGGCUAAUUCGGUGCCAGCAGCCGCGGUAAUACGGGGGAUGCGAGCGUUCUCCGUAUUUAUUGGGUUUAAAGGGUGCGCAGGCGGAAGAUCAAGUCAGCGGUAAAAUUGAGAGGCGCAACCUCUUUUCGCCGUUGAAACUGUCGGUCUUGAGUGGGCGAGAAGUAUGCGGAAUGCGUGGUGUAGCGGUGAAAUGCAUAGAUAUCACGCAGAACUCCGAUUGCGAAGGCAGCAUACCGGCGCCCGACUGACGCUGAGGCACGAAAGCGUGGGUAUCGAACAGGAUUAGAUACCCGUGUAGUC
Molecule: ribosomal RNA, 459 nt
Filed under: uncultured bacterium
Lineage: Bacteria
Description: partial 16S ribosomal RNA
Rfam family: Bacterial small subunit ribosomal RNA
Source: RNAcentral